GGGNNNNNAGCGNAAGGUGCUUGCACCUUUCAGUGAGUGGCGAACGGGUGAGUAACACGUGGACAACCUGCCUCAAGGCUGGGGAUAACAUUUGGAAACAGAUGCUAAUACCGAAUAAAACUUAGUGUCGCAUGACACAAAGUUAAAAGGCGCUUCGGCGUCACCUAGAGAUGGAUCCGCGGUGCAUUAGUUAGUUGGUGGGGUAAAGGCCUACCAAGACAAUGAUGCAUAGCCGAGUUGAGAGACUGAUCGGCCACAUUGGGACUGAGACACGGCCCAAACUCCUACGGGAGGCUGCAGUAGGGAAUCUUCCACAAUGGGCGAAAGCCUGAUGGAGCAACGCCGCGUGUGUGAUGAAGGCUUUCGGGUCGUAAAGCACUGUUGUAUGGGAAGAACAGCUAGAAUAGGAAAUGAUUUUUUGUUUGACGGUACCAUACCAGAAAGGGGACGGCUAAAUACGUGCCAGCAGCCGCGGUAAUACGUAUGUCCCGAGCGUUAUCCGGGAUUUAUUGGGCGUAAAGCCGAGCGCAGACGGUUUUAUUAUUUCUGAUGUGAAAGCCCGGAGCUCCACCUCCGGAAUGCCAUUGAAACUGGUUUACUUGAGGUGCAGAAAAGGUUAAGUGGAAACCUCCUNGGUGNAGCCGGUNAAUUGCGUANNNNNANNA
This 665-nucleotide ribosomal RNA is filed under the name Leuconostoc sp. B 241. RNAcentral's name for it is "partial 16S ribosomal RNA". It matches the Rfam family "Bacterial small subunit ribosomal RNA", at positions 64 to 701 of the family's 1533-position model. The record is from RNAcentral. Lineage: Bacteria; Bacillati; Bacillota; Bacilli; Lactobacillales; Lactobacillaceae.